Molecule: ribosomal RNA, 253 nt
Filed under: uncultured bacterium
Lineage: Bacteria
Description: partial 16S ribosomal RNA
Rfam family: Bacterial small subunit ribosomal RNA
Source: RNAcentral
CACGUAGGGCGCAAGCGUUGUCCGGAAUUAUUGGGCGUAAAGCGCACGUAGGCGGUUUGUUAAGUCGGAUGUGAAAUCCCUCGGCUCAACUGAGGAAGUGCAUCCGAAACUGGCAGGCUUGAGUACUAAAGAGGGUCGCGGAAUUCCCGGUGUAGAGGUGAAAUUCGUAGAUAUCGGGAGGAACACCGGUGGCGAAGGCGGCGACCUGGGUAGAUACUGACGCUGAGGUGCGAAAGCGUGGGGAGCAAACAGG